This 479-nucleotide ribosomal RNA is filed under the name uncultured bacterium. RNAcentral's name for it is "bacterial SSU rRNA". It matches the Rfam family "Bacterial small subunit ribosomal RNA", at positions 21 to 518 of the family's 1533-position model. The record is from RNAcentral.
GGCUCAGGACGAACGCUGGCGGCGUGCCUAACACAUGCAAGUCGAGCGAGGAGAUCCUCGGGAUGAUCCUAGCGGCGGACGGGUGAGUAACACGUGGGCAACCUGCCUCAUAGAGAGGAAUAGCCUUCCGAAAGGGAGAUUAAUACCUCAUAACAUUGCAGUUUCGCAUGGAACAGCAAUUAAAGGAGUAAUCCGCUAUGAGAUGGGCCCGCGGCGCAUUAGCUAGUUGGUGAGGUAACGGCUCACCAAGGCGACGAUGCGUAGCCGACCUGAGAGGGUGAUCGGCCACAUUGGGACUGAGACACGGCCCAGACUCCUACGGGAGGCAGCAGUGGGGAAUAUUGCACAAUGGGGGAAACCCUGAUGCAGCCAACGCCGCGUGAGUGAUGACGGCCUUCGGGUUGUAAAGCUCUGUCUUCAGGGACGAUAAUGACGGUACCUGAGGAGGAAGCCACGGCUAACUACGUGCCAGCAGCAGC